RNAcentral lists this ribosomal RNA (294 nucleotides) under uncultured bacterium. Its description in RNAcentral is "partial 16S ribosomal RNA". It matches the Rfam family "Bacterial small subunit ribosomal RNA", at positions 524 to 823 of the family's 1533-position model. The record is from RNAcentral.
UACGUAGGGGGCAAGCGUUGUCCGGAUUUAUUGGGCGUAAAGCGCGUGUAGGCGGCCAGGUAGGUCCGUUGUGAAAACUCGAGGCUCAACCUCGAGACGUCGACGGAAACCAUCUGGCUAGAGUCCGGAAGAGGAGAGUGGAAUUCCGUGGUGUAGCGGUGAAAUGCGCAGAUAUCAGGAAGAACACCCGUGGCGAGGGCGGCUCUCUGGGACGGUACUGACGCUGAGACGCGAAAGCGUGGGAGCGAACAGGAUGAGAUACCGGUGUAGCUCCGAUACCCAAGUACUCGUCGA